Molecule: ribosomal RNA, 237 nt
Filed under: uncultured bacterium
Lineage: Bacteria
Description: partial 16S ribosomal RNA
Rfam family: Bacterial small subunit ribosomal RNA
Source: RNAcentral
AGCGAACGCUGGCGGUAUGCUUAACACAUGCAAGUCGAGCGCGAAAGUGACUUCGGUCAUAAGUAGAGCGGCGGACGGGUGAGUAACACGUGGAUAAUCUGCCUUUAGGACUGGGAUAACCCUGGGAAACUAGGGCUAAUACCGGAUAAGACCACAGGUUCCAUGGAACCAGGGGUAAAAGCGCCUUCGGGCUGUCGCCGAAAGAUGAGUCCGCGUCCCAUCAGGUAGUUGGUGAGG